RNAcentral lists this ribosomal RNA (1364 nucleotides) under uncultured bacterium. RNAcentral describes it as "bacterial SSU rRNA". It matches the Rfam family "Bacterial small subunit ribosomal RNA". The record is from RNAcentral.
AUGCAAGUCGAACGGAAAGGCCCUUCGGGGUACUCGAGUGGCGAACGGGUGAGUAACACGUGGGUGAUCUGCCCUGCACUUUGGGAUAAGCCUGGGAAACUGGGUCUAAUACCGAAUAGGACCGCAUGCUUCAUGGUGUGUGGUGGAAAGCUUUUGCGGUGUGGGAUGGGCCCGCGGCCUAUCAGCUUGUUGGUGAGGUAAUGGCUUACCAAGGCGACGACGGGUAGCCGGCCUGAGAGGGUGACCGGCCACACUGGGACUGAGAUACGGCCCAGACUCCUACGGGAGGCAGCAGUGGGGAAUAUUGCACAAUGGGCGCAAGCCUGAUGCAGCGACGCCGCGUGAGGGAUGACGGCCUUCGGGUUGUAAACCUCUUUCGCCAGGGACGAAGCGCAAGUGACGGUACCUGGAGAAGAAGGACCGGCCAACUACGUGCCAGCAGCCGCGGUAAUACGUAGGGUCCGAGCGUUGUCCGGAAUUACUGGGCGUAAAGAGCUCGUAGGUGGUUUGUCGCGUUGUUCGUGAAAACUCACAGCUUAACUGUGGGCGUGCGGGCGAUACGGGCAGACUUGAGUACUGCAGGGGAGACUGGAAUUCCUGGUGUAGCGGUGGAAUGCGCAGAUAUCAGGAGGAACACCGGUGGCGAAGGCGGGUCUCUGGGCAGUAACUGACGCUGAGGAGCGAAAGCGUGGGGAGCGAACAGGAUUAGAUACCCUGGUAGUCCACGCCGUAAACGGUGGGUACUAGGUGUGGGUUUCCUUCCUUGGGAUCCGUGCCGUAGCUAACGCAUUAAGUACCCCGCCUGGGGAGUACGGCCGCAAGGCUAAAACUCAAAGAAAUUGACGGGGGCCCGCACAAGCGGCGGAGCAUGUGGAUUAAUUCGAUGCAACGCGAAGAACCUUACCUGGGUUUGACAUGCACAGGACGCCGGCAGAGAUGUCGGUUCCCUUGUGGCCUGUGUGCAGGUGGUGCAUGGCUGUCGUCAGCUCGUGUCGUGAGAUGUUGGGUUAAGUCCCGCAACGAGCGCAACCCUUGUCUCAUGUUGCCAGCACGUUAUGGUGGGGACUCGUGAGAGACUGCCGGGGUCAACUCGGAGGAAGGUGGGGAUGACGUCAAGUCAUCAUGCCCCUUAUGUCCAGGGCUUCACACAUGCUACAAUGGCCGGUACAAAGGGCUGCGAUGCCGUGAGGUGGAGCGAAUCCUUUCAAAGCCGGUCUCAGUUCGGAUCGGGGUCUGCAACUCGACCCCGUGAAGUCGGAGUCGCUAGUAAUCGCAGAUCAGCAACGCUGCGGUGAAUACGUUCCCGGGCCUUGUACACACCGCCCGUCACGUCAUGAAAGUCGGUAACACCCGAAGCCGGUGGC